Molecule: ribosomal RNA, 498 nt
Filed under: uncultured bacterium
Lineage: Bacteria
Description: partial 16S ribosomal RNA
Rfam family: Bacterial small subunit ribosomal RNA
Source: RNAcentral
AUUGAACGCUGGCGGCAUGCCUUACACAUGCAAGUCGAACGGCAGCACGGGGCAACCUGGUGGCGAGUGGCGAACGGGUGAGUAAUGUAUCGUAACGUGCCAUUGAGUGGGGGAUAACGUAGCGAAAGUUACGCUAAUACCGCAUAUACCCUGAGGGUGAAAGCAGGGGAUCGCAAGACCUUGUGCUCUUCUAGCGGCGGAUAUCAGAUUAGCUAGUGGGUGAGGUAAAGGCUCACCAAGGCGACGAUCUGUAGCGGGUCUGAGAGGAUGAUCCGCCACACUGGGACUGAGACACGGCCCAGACUCCUACGGGAGGCAGCAGCGGGGAAUUUUGGACAAUGGGCGCAAGCCUGAUCCAGCCAUGCCGCGUGAGUGAAGAAGGCCUUCGGGUUGUAAAGCUCUUUCGGCCGGGAAGAAAUCGUACAGGUUAAUACCCUGUGUGGAUGACGGUACCGGAAUAAGAAGCACCGGCUAACUACGUGCCAGCCGCCGCGGUAA